GCCCCAUAUUCAUACUCUCGGUAAAUGAAUGAGGAGAGCCCCAUGUGGGAUUACAAACUUGCUGGAAAUGGAUGAGAAACCUUCUGCUCUGCUGGAGUUUAUCUUGAGUGUGCCUUAAAAUUCCAUUUCAUGGAGAACUGUGCGUGGUUGAAUUUUGAUUGAUUACUCAAUUAACUGAUGUAUUGGUAGAGUGAUUAAGAAAGAAGACUUUGGGAUCAGACCAACCUGGUUUUGAAUUCAAGCUCAGCAACUUACUAGGUAAGGAGGAGAAAAGAAAGAAGGAAAAAUUGGAAAGAUAAAUGGGGUCUUUCCAGUGAAGGCUCAAUUUUCCUACAUAAUUAAGAGUUUGGAAUUCGGGCAAUAUCAAGAACCACAUCUGUCCUGAAAUCAAUUAUCUCUGUUUGUGGCCAUGGUCCAUGCCUCCUUUACUACAUCAGAUCCACCUAGUCCCUGGACUAAUCAGAAACACAAGAAAUAAGAAGACCAUUUUGAGAAGAACAGAGAGUAGCCUUAAGAAAAUCCCUGUCGCAAGCACUCUGGGAUUUGGACUCAAAUGCUAAUUAUACAGAACCACUUGGGUGCCCAGCUGCUGUCCAUUCUCUACACUUAUCCCACCUGAUGGAAGGCUGUUAAGAAAAACAUCACUGCAAUGCCUAAUAAACAGACAUGGGUCCCAGACCCAAUAAGAGUGAAACCAUCCCCCUAUUUAAAUGAAAUUAUGGCUGAUGAGAAAGACAAAUUAAUUUCUCUGUCCCUAGUAUUACACAAAACUUUGGAUGCUGCCAUUGUUACAAUUUUAUUUUCCCCAGGAGCUCAGAGUCCCACCUUCAUUCUUUUUGUUUAAUGCUUAAGCUUGCCUGUCCACCUAUGGAAGACUAGAAUGAGCAAAGACCAUGUAUUCAAUGAUCUGUAAAUCUAACAGGAAACAAUAUAAUAAAUAUAUUGUGUUUGCUAACCAAA
This 960-nucleotide long non-coding RNA is filed under the name Homo sapiens (human). RNAcentral's name for it is "novel transcript". The record is from RNAcentral. Lineage: Eukaryota; Metazoa; Chordata; Mammalia; Primates; Hominidae.